UGAGCAGCGACAAGUGCUAAUGAGUGACAGCUUCGGAAGCAGGGAGAGGUGGCCUUUUAUUUUGCUGUUCUGUGGCUACCCCUGCAGGUCAUAAGCAAUCCAGUGAAAAUGGAACUGUCCCUAUAUACCUGAAUAGCACCUGGCAUAGUGAGCCAUCACAUCUGACUUUGCUUUGUGUGGCUUCAUAGCACAUUUUCCCACUGAAGACCUGAUUAUGUAAAAAGAUACAAUUUUGUUAACCUCUAUAUCAAUCCUAAACUCAAAAUAUUCCUACUCUGUGCUAUCCACCUAAUUUACUGAAAAACCACCAUCUGUAUUUUAGUCCAUUUUUCCUGUGGAAAUUAAGUUAGGUGUUUAGUCUG
This is a long non-coding RNA of Harpia harpyja (harpy eagle), 362 nucleotides long. RefSeq lists it as uncharacterized. The record is from RefSeq and is a predicted model, not a curated record. The transcript has 2 exons. Lineage: Eukaryota; Metazoa; Chordata; Aves; Accipitriformes; Accipitridae.